GACGAACGCUGGCGGCGUGCCUAACACAUGCAAGUCGAGCGGAGGUACAAUGAGAGCAAUCGAGAUGUACUUUAGCGGCGGACGGGUGAGUAACGCGUGAGCAACCUGCCUAUCACAGGGGGAUAACAGUUGGAAACAGCUGCUAAUACCGCAUAAGCCUAAGGGUAAAAGAAGUAAUUCGGGAAUGGAGAGACUCGCGUCCUAUCAGCUAGUAGGUGAGAUAAGAGCUUACCUAGGCGAAGACGGGUAACCGGACUGAGAGGUUGAACGGCCACAUUGGAACUGAGAAACGGUCCAGACUCCUACGGGAGGCAGCAGUGGGGAAUAUUGGGCAAUGGGCGAAAGCCUGACCCAGCGACGCCGCGUGAGGGAAGAAGGUCUUCGGAUUGUAAACCUUUGUUGAAGGGAAGAAGAAAGUGACGGUACCCUUCGAGGAAGCCACGGCUAACUACGUG
This 455-nucleotide ribosomal RNA is filed under the name uncultured bacterium. Its description in RNAcentral is "bacterial SSU rRNA". It matches the Rfam family "Bacterial small subunit ribosomal RNA", at positions 28 to 507 of the family's 1533-position model. The record is from RNAcentral.